This 1370-nucleotide ribosomal RNA is filed under the name uncultured bacterium. RNAcentral's name for it is "bacterial SSU rRNA". It matches the Rfam family "Bacterial small subunit ribosomal RNA", at positions 8 to 1379 of the family's 1533-position model. The record is from RNAcentral.
AGAGUUUGAUCUUGGCUCAGAAUGAACGUUGGCGGCGUGGAUUAGGCAUGCAAGUCGAGCGGCAAGGUUUUUUAUCUUCGGAUUUUGAACCCUAGAGCGGCGAAAGGGAUAGGAACGUAUAGAUACAUGCCUCUUAGCUCAGGAUAGCGUCUGGAAACGGGCGAUAAUACUGAAUGAGGUCUCCGGACCAAAGGUGCGAUUCCGCUAGGAGAUUGGUCUAUAUCCUAUUAGCUAGUUGGUAAGGUAACGGCUUACCAAGGCGAUGAUGGGUACGGGGCGUGAGAGCGUGACCCCGAUCACUGGGACUGAGACACUGCCCAGACGCCUACGGGCGGCUGCAGUCGAGAAUCUUCGGCAAUGGACGAAAGUCUGACCGAGCGACGCCGCGUGUAUGAUGAAGGUCUUCGGAUUGUAAAGUACUGUCGAUAGGGCGGAAAUUUACGGUGGCCAUCCAUCGUAUUUGACCUAUCUUUUGAGGAAGGACGGGCUAAGUUCGUGCCAGCAGCCGCGGUAAGACGAACUGUUCUAACGUUAUUCGGAAUCACUGGGCUUAAAGGGCGCGUAGGCGGUUUUUUAAGCGGGGUCUGAAAUCCCUCGGCUCAACCGAGGAACUGGGCUUCGAACUGGAGAACUAGAGUGAAGUAGGGGUAAGCGGAACUUGCGGUGGAGCGGUGAAAUGCUUUGAUAUCGCAAGGAACACCGGUGGCGAAGGCGGCUUACUGGGCCGUAACUGACGCUGAGGCGCGAAAGCGUGGGGAGCGAACAGGAUUAGAUACCCUGGUAGUCCACACUGUAAACGAUGAAUACUAGGUGUAGGUUAUAUCAUGUAAUCUGUGCCGUCGCAAACGCAAUAAGUAUUCCACCUGGGGAGUACGGCCGCAAGGUUGAAACUCAAAGGAAUUGACGGGGGCCCGCACAAGCAGUGGAGUAUGUGGUUUAAUUCGAAGCAACGCGAAGAACCUUACCAGGGCUUGACAUAUACAGGAAUAUAUAAGAGAUUAUAUAGUUCUUCGGAACCUGUAUACAGGUGGUGCAUGGUUGUCGUCAGCUCGUGUCGUGAGAUGUUGGGUUAAGUCCCGCAACGAGCGCAACCCUUAUGAUCAGUUACUAACGCGUAGAGGCGAGGACUCUGAUGAGACUGCCGGGGAUAACUCGGAGGAAGGUGGGGACGACGUCAAAUCAUCAUGCCCCUUAUGACCUGGGCUACAAACGUGCUACAAUGGCGGCUACAAAGAGGAGCGAGCAUGUAAGUGUAAGCGGAUCUCAAAAAAGCCGUCCCAGUUCGGAUUGUGGGCUGCAACCCGCCCACAUGAAGUUGGAUUCGCUAGUAAUCGCGCAUCAGCCAUGACGCGGUGAAUACGUUCCCGGGC